This is a non-coding RNA of Opisthorchis viverrini, 114 nucleotides long. Lineage: Eukaryota; Metazoa; Platyhelminthes; Trematoda; Opisthorchiida; Opisthorchiidae. The record is from Rfam.
GUUGGUUACGGUGACAAGGUUCCCAAAGGACCACUGGGCAAACUGGUUGGCAGUGUUUGUGCCGUAGCUGGUGUCUUGACGCUCGCUAUCCCUGUUCCUAUCAUCACUGAAAAC